AGUUGACCUCGGAUCAGGUAGGAAUACCCGCUGAACUUAAGCAUAUCAAUAAGCGGAGGAAAAGAAACCAACAGGGAUUGCCUCAGUAACGGCGAGUGAAGCGGCAACAGCUCAAAUUUGAAAUCUGGCCCUAGGCCCGAGUUGUAAUUUGCAGAGGAUGCUUUUGGCGAGGUGCCUUCCGAGUUCCCUGGAACGGGACGCCAUAGAGGGUGAGAGCCCCGUCUGUCGACACCGAGCCUCUGUAAAGCUCCUUCGACGAGUCGAGUAGUUGGAAUGCUGCUCUAAAUGGGAGGUAUAUGUCUUCUAAGCUAAAUACCGGCCAGAGACCGAUAGCGCACAAGUAGAGUGAUCGAAAGAUGAAAAGCACUUUGAAAAGAGAGUUAAAUAGCACGUGAAAUUGUUGAAAGGGAAGCGUUUACGACCAGACUUGGGCCGGUUGAUCAUCCAGCGUUCUCGCUGGUGCACUCUGCCGGCCCAGGCCAGCAUCAGUUCGCCCCGGGGGAUAAAGGCGGCGGGAAUGUGGCUCCUCGGAGUGUUAUAGCCCGCCGUGCAAUACCCUGAGGUGGACUGAGGUUCGCGCUCUGCAAGGAUGCUGGCGUAAUGGUCGUCAACGACCCGUCUUGAAACACGGACCAAGGAGUCGUCUUUGUAUGCGAGUGUUCGGGUGUAAAACCCCUACGCGUAAUGAAAGUGAACGCAGGUGAGAGCUUCGGCGCAUCAUCGACCGAUCCUGAUGUUCUCGGAUGGAUUUGAGUAAGAGCAUACGGGGCCGGACCCGAAAGAAGGUGAACUAUGCCUGUAUAGGGUGAAGCCAGAGGAAACUCUGGUGGAGGCUCGCAGCGGUUCUGA
Molecule: ribosomal RNA, 849 nt
Filed under: Stachybotrys cf. elegans HGUP 0310
Lineage: Eukaryota; Fungi; Ascomycota; Sordariomycetes; Hypocreales; Stachybotryaceae
Description: eukaryotic LSU rRNA
Rfam family: Eukaryotic large subunit ribosomal RNA
Source: RNAcentral